Molecule: ribosomal RNA, 243 nt
Filed under: uncultured Thauera sp.
Lineage: Bacteria; Pseudomonadati; Pseudomonadota; Betaproteobacteria; Rhodocyclales; Zoogloeaceae
Description: partial 16S ribosomal RNA
Rfam family: Bacterial small subunit ribosomal RNA
Source: RNAcentral
UCUAGUGAGACUGCCGGUGACAAACCGGAGAAGGUGGGGAUGACGUCAAGUCCUCAUGGCCCUUAUGGGUAGGGCUUCACAUGUCAUACAAUGGUCGGUACAGAGGGUUGCCAAGCCGCGAGGUGGAGCCAAUCCCUUAAAGCCGAUCGUAGUCCGGAUCGUAGUCUGCAACUCGACUACGUGAAGUCGGAAUCGCUAGUAAUCGCAGAUCAGCAUGCUGCGGUGAAUACGUUCCCGGGUCUU